AUUGAACGCUGACGGCAGGCCUAACACAUGCAAGUCGAACGGUAGCACAGAGAGCUUGCUCUCGGGUGACGAGUGGCGGACGGGUGAGUAAUGUCUGGGAAACUGCCCGAUGGAGGGGGAUAACUACUGGAAACGGUAGCUAAUACCGCAUAACGUCUUCGGACCAAAGUGGGGGACCUUCGGGCCUCACACCAUCGGAUGUACCCAGAUGGGAUUAGCUAGUAGGUGGGGUAAUGGCUCACCUAGGCGACGAUCCCUAGCUGGUCUGAGAGGAUGACCAGCCACACUGGAACUGAGACACGGUCCAGACUCCUACGGGAGGCAGCAGUGGGGAAUAUUGCACAAUGGGCGCAAGCCUGAUGCAGCCAUGCCGCGUGUAUGAAGAAGGCCUUCGGGUUGUAAAGUACUUUCAGCGGGGAGGAAGGCGUUAAGGUUAAUAACCUUGGCGAUUGACGUUACCCGCAGAAGAAGCACCGGCUAACUCCGUGCCAGCAGCCGCCGCGG
This 504-nucleotide ribosomal RNA is filed under the name uncultured bacterium. Its description in RNAcentral is "partial 16S ribosomal RNA". It matches the Rfam family "Bacterial small subunit ribosomal RNA", at positions 30 to 523 of the family's 1533-position model. The record is from RNAcentral.